RNAcentral lists this unclassified non-coding RNA (303 nucleotides) under Spizellomyces sp. 'palustris'. RNAcentral describes it as "partial internal transcribed spacer region". The stretch from base 1 to 46 matches the Rfam family "Eukaryotic small subunit ribosomal RNA", at positions 1786 to 1831 of the family's 1831-position model. RNAcentral also lists the same sequence under 1 other name. Lineage: Eukaryota; Fungi; Chytridiomycota; Chytridiomycetes; Spizellomycetales; Spizellomycetaceae. The record is from RNAcentral.
AAGUCGUAACAAGGUAACCGUAGGUGAACCUGCGGUUGGAUCAUUAUUGAAAAACUAAAGCAUGCUGCAUUUGCACUGCUUCACUUACUGUGAACUGUUUUGUCUCUGGUGGGCUGGGUAAUGAAUUAAUUCAUUUGAAUUUCCCAUUACCUGUCAGUCUGUAAUUAGCUUUUGCCUCGAGAGCUUUUUGCAGUCCGUGGACAACCCACCAACCAAUUUAGUAAACACUGUCAUAUAUAUUAAAAGUCUAAUUAAUGAUACAAUAAUAUAAAACAACUUUUGGCAACGGAUCUCUUGGCUCUU